Motacilla alba alba is the source of this 2058-nucleotide long non-coding RNA. RefSeq lists it as uncharacterized. The transcript is spliced from 2 exons. NCBI's taxonomy places the organism in Eukaryota, Metazoa, Chordata, Aves, Passeriformes, Motacillidae. The record is from RefSeq and is a predicted model, not a curated record.
GUGAGGUCACUUGGGUUCCCCCGGGAGGGACAGCAGCUCACCCCUCUGCUCAUGGACCACCCUCACAACUGAGCAGCUGCAGCUCAAACACACCAGCUGAGGGCAAACAGCUGCAGGUACCUGGGCCCUGAGCUCACCAGUGAGAGGGACAUCAGGUGCAGACACCUUGCUGAGAAGAUUCUCUGGCUGAAGAAACCAAACCCUUUUUGGAGAGCAGCAUUCUGCCCCUCUGCCACUGCUGUUGCAGUGCAGAUGUCAGGAAGUUCACGCUGCUGGUGGACGUUUGCAGAGUGAAUCACGGGGCACCACUUUCCAUUUUGACAAAAACAACUGCUGCUCAGUCAACAAGAUGCUGCUGAUCAAACGGGUGGAUGGAACUCCUGCAACUGCUGCCAAAAGGGCUCCACCAGCACAAGCAAGCUCUGUGAGCUGGCUUGGAGAACUGGGAUUUAUUUUUGCUUCCCUGUUCUUAAGAGACUACUCAGAGUUUCGUGUUCCUACCCAACACCUGAGGGGCUCAGCCUGUGGCUACCAGCUUUGGCCUGCAAGGGGAGAAAAUGCUUGCUGCUGGAAGAGACUAGAAUAAUUAAAUUGGGGUGAAAAAGAGGCAGAUAAUGUUUUAUGGAACAUGGAGUGCUACAGGAGACAAGAAAAACAGCUUCUUCUGGUGCCUAUUGCCAAAAUUUCAGAAGACCAGACAACAACUUGAGAAUUUCCAAGGGAACAGCCACUGAGUCAGUCAAAAAUAGAAUUAGGAAACUGCCUGUUUCAAAAGAAAGUCUGUAAGAUGUGCCAGUAUUUUUCAGUAUUUCUGUAAUUUCUGAGUAGAACACUCAAGAGUUAACACACAUUUAUCUACCCAAAAAAAAAAAAAAAAAAGCCAACCCACAGAAAAAGGCAAAAUGAGAAAGGAAAUCUAUGUAGCAAAGAAACACUCAUCGUAUUUCAUAUACUUAAAAUAAAAAUCACUGAUCACUUUUGCACACAUUUAUGCAAAGUUCAUUAUUCUAUGCAAUUUUCAAACGUCUCUACUUCCUUAGGCAUCAUCAACAACCAAGGACAGCUUUCCUGCAGUCACCCUGUUAUUCAAAAUGUGGAUAAAUCUGAACAUGCAAAAAAGGCAAUAAUGAAUGCUCUUCCCUGAAAGAGGACAAUAAGACUUACACUGUUCUUUUUUACUAACUGAUUUUUUAAAUUUCAAUGAUUAAAAGCAAGAAAUGCUUAAGGGAAAGGGAGUAACUUUCUAUUUUAUUAUUCCUCGGUGUUAGUUUUCUGCUAUAUAGGUUAUAAUGUGGCACUCAUUAACAAUUCAUAGAUAAUUACCAUAUUCAAGUAGCACAGCAAGUUUUUACUACCUACCCAGGCAAAAUCCUGCACAACCCUACUUGCUCCCUUUACUUAUUGUCCCAGAGGGAUGUCACGCUGGAAGAGCUGGCAUUUAUCACCUAACGGGAGAGGAAUUCCAACAGGUGAGAAACGCCAAGGAGCCCGGAACAGAACAACAUUCCAUUAAAUCACUGCCAAUGCAGAGCUGCGCAGCAAAAGGAAGCUCUGGAGAUGUGUGCUGGAGGCUGCCUUGGAAUCAAAACCCCCGACGGGAUUCUGGAGCAACGUCCCCUGCUUUGAAUUUCUCGGAGCGCUGCAGGGGGAUGCGAGUGAGAGGCAGGAGGGAUCGGCUUUGUCUGCGAGGGAUCCUCGCUGGAAGCGCCGGCAGCCGGAACGGGAGCGGAGCUGCGGGAUCCCCCCGACCCACGGGGAGCAUCCCGGGGAUUCCAGCGGGAACCAAACCAGGACAAACCCGCAGAGGGAACUCAGAAGCACGAGGAGCUCAAGUCCCAGGAGAGGAACGAGCCCUCUGAUGCAGAUCAGGAUUGCAGAAAAAAGGCUUUCGGCAAGAUUUGAUUCCCCACACAGCAAUGCCUUGGAGUGCCCACCUCGUGUUCCCUCUCUGCGUCUUUCACAGACGCUUGAUCAUUGCAGUAGCUUAAUAACUCAUCCAUUUUACAGGUCAGGAAAUGAAAACCCCUAAAUUACUGAAUAAACAUCACAAAUUAGCAA